Tachyglossus aculeatus (Australian echidna) is the source of this 138-nucleotide small nucleolar RNA. The record is from RefSeq and is a predicted model, not a curated record. NCBI's taxonomy places the organism in Eukaryota, Metazoa, Chordata, Mammalia, Monotremata, Tachyglossidae.
CCCCUCUCAGGAUCACACCUGGAGAGUUUCCAGUACUCUACAAGUCUUGGAUACGGGAGGGAGAGUCAAGCAGAGGCAUACCCAUUCCAUUACUAGUUUGGGCAGAAAUUAGCAAAUGGAAGGCAAUCUGCUACAAGU